GCUAGAGGGGCCCUUUGCGCCUAUGUGGUCAAGGAGCGUUUUAGGACAUUGCAAUGGGAAUUUGGCGCAAAUGAGAUGCAUAGGGAGUUUUUAGUUGAAGAAUGUUCGACCUUGAAGACCUGGGUGACCAAGGUUGAGGGUACAAUGAAGGAGACACUAGAAUCCGUGAACAAGCUUCAGGCUGACCUUAACGCAGCCCUUACCUCUAUGCUGGGCCUUGAGAAUAGGGCUAAAUCUGCUGAGG
This 244-nucleotide long non-coding RNA is filed under the name Manihot esculenta (cassava). RNAcentral's name for it is "long non-coding RNA (MESC_LNC007813)". Lineage: Eukaryota; Viridiplantae; Streptophyta; Magnoliopsida; Malpighiales; Euphorbiaceae. The record is from RNAcentral.